This 476-nucleotide ribosomal RNA is filed under the name uncultured Planctomycetales bacterium. Its description in RNAcentral is "bacterial SSU rRNA". It matches the Rfam family "Bacterial small subunit ribosomal RNA", at positions 366 to 832 of the family's 1533-position model. The record is from RNAcentral. Lineage: Bacteria; Pseudomonadati; Planctomycetota; Planctomycetia; Planctomycetales.
UCGCAAUGCCCGAAAGGGUGACGAGGCGACGCCGCGUGUGGGAAGAAGGCCUUCGGGUUGUAAACCACUGUCGGGAGUUAAGAAAUGCAAGAAUGUUAAUAGCGUUUUUGCUUGACUAAGGCUCCGGAGGAAGCCACGGCUAACUCUGUGCCAGCAGCCGCGGUAAUACAGAGGCGGCAAGCGUUGUUCGGAAUUAUUGGGCGUAAAGAGCACGUAGGCGGCUAUAUAAGUCGGUUGUGAAAGCCUUCCGCUCAACGGGAGAACAGCAUCCGAUACCGUGUGGCUUGAGUGUGGGAGGGGAGAGCGGAACUUCUGGUGGAGCGGUGAAAUGCGUAGAUAUCAGAAGGAACGCCGGCGGCGAAAGCGGCUCUCUGGCCCGUAACUGACGCUGAGUGUGCGAAAGCUAGGGGAGCAAACGGGAUUAGAUACCCCGGUAGUCCUAGCCGUAAACGAUGGGCACUAAGUAGAGGGGUUUU